Non-coding RNA from Equus caballus (horse), 5186 nucleotides. The record is from RefSeq and is a predicted model, not a curated record. NCBI's taxonomy places the organism in Eukaryota, Metazoa, Chordata, Mammalia, Perissodactyla, Equidae.
UAAAGACAGAACCCCAGGUCCAAGCUCUCAUACUCUCUCUACCUGUGACUUUGCUGCGUGGCCCUGGACGUGGCAUGUACCACCUGUGAGUAAUAAGCCUUGCGUUUUCAAAGUUCCCUGAUGGUUGCUGAGGUGCAUUAUGCAAUCAUAAUAAGAACCACAACAGCUGGUCCAACCUCAACAUUGGCUCCAGUCAGGGAAAUGUCUGUGGGACUCCACAAGUAGUACAGGCCCAGCUUCAUCAUCAUUACCAUGUGACCCUGGCAGUCAAAAGAUGGCUGCUGGUCCUCCAGCUCCUAUGUCUGCAUUCCGGGCAGACAGAGAGGGGAAGCACAGCAGAGCCUCCCCCAGGACUUCCGCCUACAUCUCCUGAGCCAGAGAUCUGUAAAGAGCCACCCUAGCUGCAAAGAAGCCUACAAGGUCACUUGCUACAUACAGUGGAUGGGCCCUGUCUGCUAGGAUCUCUCAGUCUCAUUGGAAUAGCAAAUCCAUACCUAUAUGGGACAUAGGGCAGACUCUGUGAGUGCUUCCUGGGUAUAAACAAUGUGCUAUGGGAAAAUGGAGAAGGAAAAGAUUCAUUAAAUAAUGGAUUUAUGGAAGGAUCCAAGAAGAUUUCCAGAUGUGGAGUUCCAGUUGAGUGUUGACAGAAGAGAAUCCCAACAGGUACCAGGAAAGUGUAGGCAGGUUGAUGGGUGGGGGGUGGACCUAUGUACUUAGACGUGUGGGGGUAUGGGGUGGGUGGAAUAAAAUAAGAUUGAAAAAGUAAGUAGGAACUACUUUUGGCAAGCUUUGAAUGUCCAGUGCUAAGGUUUUAGGUUAGGAUAUCAACAGGACAGAACAAGUGGACAAGAAUAAGGAGAUUGGACAUUGCAAAUGAGUUAGCAGGCUAUUGCAAUAGUGCAGAGAAGAGAGAACAAGAGAAGUCAGCACAGGAGUGGAGAGGAAGAGGUUGAAUCUGGAGCUGAAGUCCUCAACCUGGGCUGCAUAACAGAAUCAGCGGACUUCUAAAGUAAGGAUGCCCAUGCUGCACCCGCAGACCAACUAUAUCAGAAUCUCUGGGGUGGGAGCCAGGCAUCUGUGCUUUAAAGCUUUCCCGGUGAUUUCAGUGUGUGUGAGGUUGAGAACACUAUUCUAGAUGGGGCGAGAGGCAAGCCACAGAUUUUGAUGACUAGUUGGAUGGGGGAAGGGAAGGAAGGACCUGAAAAUGCAUCCCAGUGGUCAAUUCCAUGAAUGUAGAGGGGGUGACGCCCUGAGAUGGAGGAGCUAAGAAAGAAGCGGAGCUGCUCCUGGAGGAAAGGCAGUGCAGGUCAGGCAGGGGGCUAGGGGGACACCCAGCUGGAGGAGGAUGCUGAGAAAGGGGCUGAGAAGUUCACCUCCUGUUGGUCUUGCCUCCAUCGAGGCUUCGCAAAGGAGCCCUUACAAGGCAAGGAGGGCAAGAAAAUGUCCCUUCCAUUCUCACUCCUGCAGGACCUGUUCAUUUUGCACUUUAAUGAGGAGAAGACCCUCUUUGGAAUAUUCUCUUGGCGGCUCAGGUCUAAACAGAUACCAUGAUUCUGCAUUAGCCAGCCCCGGUGGUCUCGUGGUUAAGAUUCGGCUCUUUCACCACCAGCACUCGGAUUUGUUUCUUGGUCAGGGAACCACACCACCCAUCUGUUGGUUGUCAUACUGUGGUGGUUGCAUGUUGAUGUGAUGCUGAAGGUUUAUGCCACUGGUAUUUUAAAUACCAGCAGGGUCACCCAUGGUGGACAGGUUUUAGCAGAGUUUCCAGACUAAGACAGACUAGGAAGAAGGACCUGGCCACCCAAUUCUGAAAAAAUUGGCCAUGAAAACCCUAUGAAUGGCAGCAGCACAUUGUUUGAUAGAGCACCGGAAGGAGAGAGGAUGGCGCAACACAACCGGGCAGGGCUCUGCUCUGCUGUGCGCAGGAUCACUAGGAGUCGGGGUUGACUCCAGGGCACUAACAAUCACAAAUUUUUGCAUUAGAACUAAAAAUUGCAUUUGGCGCCAGAACAAUGGCAAACUCAGUCCCAUAUUCCUGCUCUGACACAAAGGCCAGUGACCAGCGGAAAUGUCCCUGGAACGCCCUGGAUGUGCACUUGGCUCUGACCUUCCUAGUUGAUCUGAAUCAUUUUGGAAAUGUGUCCAUAUUUUGGUUUUUACAAUCUGUGAGUGUUGAUGAGCUGAUUAAUUGUUCAUUUUUUUUAAAGUUUAGCAACAGGCUGAGCUCCUUGGAAAUCCUUGAGGACUUCAGUUUUGAUUACAAAGCAAUCUUUCUGCCCAAAUUCCAAUUACAGGCUAUUUCAGAUCUCCAGAGGAGUCCAGGGAAAGAACUUGUUCUCUCAAUGGAAGUAAUUUCUCUCCUGUCACUUCCACUCAACCCUGAUUCCACCCAGCUUUCCUUAUUGCUCCCUUAGUAGGCUUCUGAGAAGUUCAUGGGGAGCUUCUCCAAAGUGCACCAUUUCCUUUGUGAUGUUUUUUUCCCAUUAGAGCAUUGGCAUAUUUUUUUUAAUUUUUAUAUCCAUGUAAGUCAUGUGUAGAAAAGUUCAUAAGCCGUAAGUAUACAAAUCGACAAAUUCUUACAAAGUGAUCACACACACUCAAGUCACAAAAAAGAAUCAGCACCCCAGAGGCCCCUCACAGGCCCCCGCCCGGUUACUCUCCACUCCCUUCUUCUCAGAGGCUACCCUGUCAAAACUUCCGACACCACUGAUUAGUUUUGCCUAUUUGAGGACUUCUUGUAAAUGCGCUUCAUUCUUUUGUGUUGGCGUGAUUUUUCACUCAAAAUCGGGCUUGUGAGAUUCAUCCACACUGUUGCACAUAGAGCUAGUUCAUUCAUUUUCUCUGUCAUAUAGUAUUCCACUGUAUGAACACAUCACAAUUUAUCCUGUGGAAACUGAUAAAAGAAACCCCAACUAAAUUGGAGUCGGGAAGGCCUUUUGGGGAGCUCUCGUGCUCUACCUCACAUCAUCAACUACUCCAAACAGGAAAAGACAAACACUUACAUCUCCGGCAAAAAGUGCAACUACUUUACUACUGAAGGAAGACUUCUCUCUACCUGGCAACAGCCCGGCCAAUGAAAAACGUUGCAGCUCAGCCAAGGAGAAGCCAUCACCACCCUGAACUGUUACUUUCCUCCAAGACUUUCAUUUAGAACAGCCCCUUUGCUCUAUGAAAGCAAGCCACUUCCUUUGUCUCUCUAGAUUUGCCUAUGGUUCCCCAUAGCAUGCACAUUCCGAAUUGUAAUUCCUUGCUGAUCUCGAGUAAACCCAUUUUUGGUGGAGAAAUCAUUGGCUGUCUAUUUCUUUAAGGUCAAGAACCAAUUAUACCAUUUGGAUUGUUUCCCAUUGGGGCUAGAACGAAUAGUGCUGCCAUGAACUUGAUGCAUGUCUUUAGGUAAACAUGUACAUCACUGAAUCUUAAUCAUGAUUCUUGUAUCUAGGUUAAGAAGACAAUGCUUUAUUUGAAGACAGAGAGACUAAGGUGGGGAGCAAGUCUUGGGGGAAUGAAAACAACUAAAGGAGAGGAAAAGGAAACGCUUGGUUUCCCGCACACAUCUCCUCUUUAUUUAACUUCAGGAUCCUCUCCCAAGGGCCACAUUGUGGUAGGAUGGAGUGGGAGACAACAGGUGCAUAACCCUGGUGUCAUCCUAUUAACUGAAGGAGUUUGAUGCCACAAAGUUGAUUAUCCCUUGAUGUGAGCAUGGCACUAAAUUUGGGAUUUCUUAAUACAGAGUGGCAUGAUUUUCUGUUCCCUCAAACUUCUGAAAAUCCACAUUGCUGGUAUUCUUCUCUUCCAUUAGUAACACAGCUCAUCUUGGACGAUGAGAGAGUGCAUUUGGUAUGUGAAUCUGAGGAUACUACCCACGAAAAACUAUGGAAGAAACGCAGGGACAAACGAAUUGCACUGAAAGAAAAUGUGUAAAAGAAGCAACAUGAUCCUGUGAGACAACUGGUAAGACGUGACACUCUCACACGUGGAACACAUCACUUUCCUCCUCCAAACGCCAACUGUUGCCUAUGCUGGAUGAGGCAGGUGGAAGCAGCCUGCCAGAUAAGACUACAGAGCUCAUCCGCUGUUGAGGGUGGCCUCAGGAGGACAAGCAAACUAUAGUUUAUUAUGCUGCGAGUCACACUCUUACAGUCAGGGAAAAGCUGCUCCUUUCCUCUCAUCCACAAAGGGCUGUGAAGAAUGCUGCCUUUGGUGCUCAAUGGAUUGGAAAAAGAAGCCAUAAACGAAGAAAAGACAAAGGACAAAAUCAGUCACAAAGUGGGUGGGUGCUUGGCAGAUUUGAGGGUCAAAUUCACCACACCAGCGCAGUUCAAGAAAGCUGAGCUGUGAAGUUGAAGUAUACCAACCUGGUCAGGCACCUGUGUGCUAUGCAGUGUGCACCUACGCACCAAACUCUCAUUAGAAGGAGGCAUUGUCAUCCUAGGCCUCGGGGAAUCCCACAAAUAAUUUUAAGGGCAGUGAGUAGCACACAAUCAAAAAAAGUCAACCACACAAGAGCACAAGAAUGUAACAACCAUGACAAUCUAAUCAACUGUUACAGACGGCUAAAACAGACCUGAGUAGACUACAGAUACUGGAGUUAUCAGAUAUAGAUUGUAAAUACUUCUAAGUUCAAAUAAUAAAAGACAACCUUAGAAACAUCAUCAGCAAACAGAAAACUAUAAACAGCGGUCAAAUAGAACUAACACACUAUAUAAGAAGGACCAAGUUAAAUCAUGAAAAAUUUUAAAAAACAACCAAACUAAAACUAAAUGAAUGAAUUUGACAGCAUAUUAAAUUUUCAGAAGAGAAAAUGUGAUCUAGAAGCCAUAUUCGAAGAAAUUAUUCAGAAUUCUAUACAGAGACAAAAAGGUGAAAAAUACAUUGAAAAUGAUGGUAGUGUGAGAUAGUAUAACAGCUGUUUAAGAAGGAGAUCAGAGAGAAGAAACAGCGGAGAUGAUAUUUUAAAAGAUAUUAGCUAAUAGUGAUCCAAAAAUUGAUGAAAUACAUCAUUCCACAAACUCAUAUGUCCAGUGAUUCCCAGAGAGGACAGAUAAAAAUAAAUCCACAUCUACAGUGAAACUGCAGAAUAUCAGACAAGGAAAAACAUAUCUUAAAGCAAAGAAAUAAUAGAUUGAUUGCUUUCUCAACAGCACCAGUGGAAGACAAAAGGUGGUUGGAAUGAAAUCUACAAUGUA